AAAGUGGAUUAGCGGCGGACGGGUGAGUAACACGUGAGUAACCUACCUUAGACAUUGGGAUAGCCUCGGGAAACCGGGAUUAAUACCAAAUAAAAUCAUAAUGACACAUGUCAUAACGAUCAAAACUCCGGUGGUCUAAGAUGGACUCGCGUCCCAUUAGCUAGUUGGUAGAGUAGAAGCCUACCAAGGCGACGAUGGGUAGCCGGCCUGAGAGGGUGAACGGCCACAUUGGAACUGAGAAACGGUCCAA
RNAcentral lists this ribosomal RNA (250 nucleotides) under uncultured Eubacteriales bacterium. Its description in RNAcentral is "uncultured Clostridiales bacterium partial 16S ribosomal RNA". It matches the Rfam family "Bacterial small subunit ribosomal RNA", at positions 84 to 334 of the family's 1533-position model. Lineage: Bacteria; Bacillati; Bacillota; Clostridia; Eubacteriales. The record is from RNAcentral.